Molecule: ribosomal RNA, 289 nt
Filed under: uncultured bacterium
Lineage: Bacteria
Description: partial 16S ribosomal RNA
Rfam family: Bacterial small subunit ribosomal RNA
Source: RNAcentral
GAUGAACGCUGGCGGCGUGGAUAAGGCAUGCAAGUCGAGUGCAUUUAGGUGCACGGCAGACGGGAGAGUAACACAUUGGUAAUUUGCCCCUAAGUGGAGAAUAACCCUGUGAAAGCGGGAAUAAUACUCCAUGUGUUGUUGGAACAUAAGUUUUAACAGUAAAGAUUUAUCGCUUAGGGAGAGGCCUAUGUACUAUCAGCUUGUUGGUGAGGUAAGAGCUCACCAAGGCAAUGACGGUUACCGGGUGUUGGAGCAUGACCCGGCUCAAUGGGACUGAGACACUGCCCAU